AUUGAACGCUGGCGGCAGGCCUAACACAUGCAAGUCGAGCGAGCGGCGGACGGGGGAGUAAAGUAUGUGGACUGCCAGAUAGAGGGGGAUAAAUACUGGAAACGGUGGCUAAUACCGCAUACUGUAGGAUAACACAUAUGGGAUUAGCUAGGAGGUAAGGUAAUGGCUUACCUAGGCGACGAUCCCUAGCUGGUCUGAGAGGAUGAUCAACCCCAAUGGGACUGAGACACGGCCCAGACUCCUACUGAUCCACCGUUGUCAAAUGUUGCACAAUGGGCGCAAGCCUGAUUCAGCCAUGCCGCGUGUAUGAAGAAGACCCUAGGGUUUUAAAGUACUUUCAGUCGGGAGGCGUUACCGACAGAAGAAGCACCGGCUAACUCCGUGCCAGCCGCCGCGGUAAUUC
This 403-nucleotide ribosomal RNA is filed under the name uncultured bacterium. RNAcentral describes it as "partial 16S ribosomal RNA". It matches the Rfam family "Bacterial small subunit ribosomal RNA", at positions 30 to 526 of the family's 1533-position model. The record is from RNAcentral.